RNAcentral lists this ribosomal RNA (499 nucleotides) under uncultured bacterium. Its description in RNAcentral is "bacterial SSU rRNA". It matches the Rfam family "Bacterial small subunit ribosomal RNA", at positions 36 to 524 of the family's 1533-position model. The record is from RNAcentral.
AUAACUGGCGGCGGCUUACCAUGCAAGUCGAACGGUAGCACAAAGGACUUGCUCCUUGGGUGACGAGUGGCGGACGGGUGAGUAAUGCUUGGGAAUCUGGCUUAUGGAGGGGGAUAACUACUGGAAACGGUAGCUAAUACCGCGUAAUAUCGUAAGAUUAAAGGGUGGGACCUUCGGGCCACUUGCCAUAAGAUGAGCCCAAGUGGGAUUAGGUAGUUGGUGGGGUAAAGGCCUACCAAGCCUGCGAUCUCUAGCUGGUCUGAGAGGAUGGCCAGCCACACUGGAACUGAGACACGGUCCAGACUCCUACGGGAGGCAGCAGUGGGGAAUAUUGCACAAUGGGGGGAACCCUGAUGCAGCCAUGCCGCGUGAAUGAAGAAGGCCUUCGGGUUGUAAAGUUCUUUCGGUGAUGAGGAAGGCAGGUAUUUUAAUAGAAUACUUGAUUGACGUUAGUCACAGAAGAAGCACCGGCUAACUCCGUGCCAGCAGCCGCGGUAAU